ACAGCACCUUCCUCCACCUGGACACCCAGGGCUGCUACCCAGGGCUCUGCCCAGGGGCUGCUGGAGCAGGCUGGGGGCUGCAUUCCCCCGGAGGAGUGUAACUGCUGGCAUACCUCAGCAGCGGGAGCCGGGAUGACCCUGGCCCCUGGGGACCGCCUGCAGCUGGGCUGUAAGGAGUGGUGAGAGCUGCGAGGCCCAAGACACUGUAUUCACCCUGGACUGUGCCAACCAGUGCCCACGCAGCUGUGCCGACCUCUGGGACCGCGUUCAGUGCCUGCAGGGACCCUGCCGCCCAGAGUGCCCCCCUGGGGAAAUGUGGCAGCAGGUGGCCCCGGGGAGCUGGGGCUCUGCGAGCAGACGUGCCUGGAGAUGAAUGCCACAGAGACCCAGAGUAACUGCAGUUCAGCUCGAGCCUCGGG
This 419-nucleotide small RNA is filed under the name Pan troglodytes (chimpanzee). RNAcentral's name for it is "processed transcript". The record is from RNAcentral. Lineage: Eukaryota; Metazoa; Chordata; Mammalia; Primates; Hominidae.